This 74-nucleotide transfer RNA is filed under the name Rhodoferax antarcticus ANT.BR. It matches the Rfam family "tRNA". Rfam says of the family: Transfer RNA (tRNA) molecules are approximately 80 nucleotides in length. Their secondary structure includes four short double-helical elements and three loops (D, anti-codon, and T loops). The record is from Rfam by way of RNAcentral. Lineage: Bacteria; Pseudomonadati; Pseudomonadota; Betaproteobacteria; Burkholderiales; Comamonadaceae.
UGCAGAGUAGAGAAGCCUGGUAUCUCGCAAGCCUCAUACGCUUGAAAUCGCUGGUUCAAAUCCGGCCUCUGUUU